CCUACGGGAGACAGCAGUGAGGAAUCUUGGUCAAUGGACGGAAGUCUGAACCAGCCAUGCCGCGUGCAGGAAGACGGCUCUAUGAGUUGUAAACUGCUUUUUUACAAGGGUAAACCUGCAUACGUGUAUUCAGCUGACAUUACUGUACGAAUAAGGAUCGGCUAACUCCGUGCCAGCAGCCGCGGUAAUACGGAGGAUCCAAGCGUUAUCCGGAUUUAUUGGGUUGAACGGGUGCGUAGGCGGAUUGAUAAGUUAGAGGUGAAAUGUCCGGGCUGAACUCGGGAACGGCCUGUAAUACUGUUGAACUAGAGAGUAGAUGCGGUAGGCGGAAUGUAUGGUGUAGCGGUGAAAUGCUUAGAGAUAAGACAGAACACCGAUUGCGAAGGCAGCUUACCAAUCUAUAUCUGACGUUGAGGCACGAAAGCGUGGGGAGCAAACAGGAUUAGAUACCCUGGUAGUC
Molecule: ribosomal RNA, 460 nt
Filed under: uncultured bacterium
Lineage: Bacteria
Description: partial 16S ribosomal RNA
Rfam family: Bacterial small subunit ribosomal RNA
Source: RNAcentral